This is a long non-coding RNA of Dreissena polymorpha, 547 nucleotides long. RefSeq lists it as uncharacterized. The transcript is spliced from 3 exons. The record is from RefSeq and is a predicted model, not a curated record. NCBI's taxonomy places the organism in Eukaryota, Metazoa, Mollusca, Bivalvia, Myida, Dreissenidae.
GGUCACACCAAUAGGGGGUCACACCAAUAGAGGGUCACACCAAUAGGGGGUCACACCAAUAGAGGGUCACACCAAUAGAGGGUCACACCAAUAGAGGGUCACACCAAUAGAGGGUCACACCAAUAGGGGGUCACACCAAUAGGGGGUCACACCAAUAGGGGGUCACACCAAUAGAGGGUCACACCAAUAGAGGGUCACACCAAUAGGGGGUCACACCAAUAGAGGGUCACACCAAUAGGGGGUCACACCAAUAGAGGGUCACACCAAUAGAGGGUCACACCAAUAGAGGGUCACACCAAUAGAGGGUCACACCAAUAGAGGGUCACACCAAUAGGGGGUCACACCAAUAGAGGGUCACACCAAUAGGGGGUCACACCAAAAGGGGGUCACACCAAUAGAGGGUCACACCAAUAGAGGGUCACACCAAUAGAGGGUCACAUCAAUAGGGGGUCACACCAAUAGAGGGUCACACCAAUAGGGGGUCACACCAAUAGAGGGUCACACCAAUAGAGGAUCACACCAAUAGAGGGUCACACCAAUAGAGGGU